UCACCUCCCCCACCCGUAAAAUCACCUCCCCCUCCAGUAUACAUUUAUGGUUCUCCGCCACCACCAGUCCACUACUAAGCAAGUUGAAAAGCUUGGCCAUUUUCCACAACCACACAAAUUUCAGUUUAAAUCACAAAAUAAGUGAUGGCUUCUUGAGGGAAAGAUUCAGACGUCCAUGGUCAAAAGCAAUUAAUUUAAUCAAUAAGAUCAUCAACUUUGCAAUUCAGAGGUUGAUUCCAAGCGACUUGGACCACUUUGCUUCUACUUUUCUGGUGGCCUUCUUACACAUUGUUCUCAUUGUGUCUUCACGUGGAAGUGGCUUCAACAGCUUAGUUUUUUAUUAGAAUAUUAAUUAUUUAGUUGAUAUUUGAAGUGUAUUUGAGUUUUCAUGUUUUUUUAUGUUUCUUCUUUAUAAUUUAUUAUUGUAAGUAUAUCUUUGUUUGAUUUGUUUCGUGUUAAUUAUUGUUGGCUGUCUCCUAGUGCCUACUUGUGCUUUGUGCACCAAAUCAAUAAAGAGAUGAAUUUUGUUCA
Nicotiana tabacum (common tobacco) is the source of this 531-nucleotide non-coding RNA. The record is from RefSeq and is a predicted model, not a curated record. NCBI's taxonomy places the organism in Eukaryota, Viridiplantae, Streptophyta, Magnoliopsida, Solanales, Solanaceae.